AGCUGAUCAGCAUGCCGCGUGCGUGAAGAAGGCCUUCUGGUUGUAAACUGCUUUUACCGGGGGGUAAAAAAGGCCUAUACUCCCUCGUGCAGGUACCUGGAGCAUAAGCCACGGCUAACUACCAGCCCGCGGCCGCGGUAAUUAUAAUAA
RNAcentral lists this ribosomal RNA (150 nucleotides) under uncultured bacterium. RNAcentral describes it as "partial 16S ribosomal RNA". It matches the Rfam family "Bacterial small subunit ribosomal RNA", at positions 381 to 530 of the family's 1533-position model. The record is from RNAcentral.